UAACAGGAAAUAGCUUGCUAUUUUGCUGACGAGUGGCGCACGGGUGCGUAACGCGUAUACAAUCUACCUUUUGCUGAGGGAUAGCCCAGAGAAAUUUGGAUUAAUACCUCAUGGUAUUAUUGAUAGGCAUCUAUUAAUAAUUAAAGGUUACGGCAAAAGAUGAGUAUGCGUCCCAUUAGCUAGUUGGCGAGGUAACGGCUCACCAGGGCAACGAUGGGUAGGGGUCCUGAGAGGGAGAUCCCCCACACUGGUAUUGAGACACGGACCAGACUCC
This 274-nucleotide ribosomal RNA is filed under the name unidentified marine bacterioplankton. RNAcentral describes it as "partial 16S ribosomal RNA". It matches the Rfam family "Bacterial small subunit ribosomal RNA", at positions 64 to 339 of the family's 1533-position model. The record is from RNAcentral.